Molecule: ribosomal RNA, 486 nt
Filed under: uncultured bacterium
Lineage: Bacteria
Description: partial 16S ribosomal RNA
Rfam family: Bacterial small subunit ribosomal RNA
Source: RNAcentral
AUUGAACGCUGGCGGCAUGCCUUACACAUGCAAGUCGAACGGCAGCACGGGUGCUUGCACCUGGUGGCGAGUGGCGAACGGGUGAGUAAUACAUCGGAACAUGUCCUGUAGUGGGGGAUAGCCCGGCGAAAGCCGGAUUAAUACCGCAUACGAUCUACGGAUGAAAGCGGGGGACCUUCGGGCCUCGCGCUAUAGGGUUGGCCGCUGGCUGAUUAGCUAGUUGGCGGGGUAAAGGCCUACCAAGGCGACGAUCAGUAGCUGGUCUGAGAGGACGACCAGCCACACUGGGACUGAGACACGGCCCAGACUCCUACGGGAGGCAGCAGUGGGGAAUUUUGGACAAUGGGCGAAAGCCUGAUCCAGCAAUGCCGCGUGUGUGAAGAAGGCCUUCGGGUUGGAAAGCACUUUUGUCCGGAAAGAAAUCCUUGGCCCUAAUACGGUCGGGGGAUGACGGUACCGGAAGAAUAAGCACCGGCUAACUACGUG